UAACACGUGGGUAACCUGCCUGUAAGACUGGGAUAACUCCGGGAAACCGGGGCUAAUACCGGAUGGUUGUUUGAACCGCAUGGUUCAAACAUAAAAGGUGGCUUCGGCUACCACUUACAGAUGGACCCGCGGCGCAUUAGCUAGUUGGUGAGGUAACGGCUCACCAAGGCAACGAUGCGUAGCCGACCUGAGAGGGUGAUCGGCCACACUGGGACUGAGACACGGCCCAGACUCCUACGGGAGGCAGCAGUAGGGAAUCUUCCGCAAUGGACGAAAGUCUGACGGAGCAACGCCGCGUGAGUGAUGAAGGUUUUCGGAUCGUAAAGCUCUGUUGUUAGGGAAGAACAAGUACCGUUCGAAUAGGGCGGUACCUUGACGG
RNAcentral lists this ribosomal RNA (379 nucleotides) under Bacillus subtilis subsp. subtilis. RNAcentral describes it as "bacterial SSU rRNA". It matches the Rfam family "Bacterial small subunit ribosomal RNA", at positions 111 to 475 of the family's 1533-position model. The record is from RNAcentral. Lineage: Bacteria; Bacillati; Bacillota; Bacilli; Caryophanales; Bacillaceae.